AGUUUGAUCAUGGCUCAGAUUGAACGCUGGGCGGCAUGCUUUACACAUGCAAGUCGAAUGGUAACAGGCCUUCGGGUGCUGACGAGUGGCGAACGGGUGAGUAAUGCAUCGGAACGUGCCCAAUCGGUGGGGGAUAACGUAGCGAAAGUUACGCUAAUACCGCAUAAGCCCUGAGGGGGAAAGCAGGGGAUCGCAAGACCUUGCGCGAAUGGAGCGGCCGAUGUCAGAUUAGCUAGUUGGUGGGGUAAAGGCCUACCAAGGCGACGAUCUGUAGCGGGUCUGAGAGGAUGAUCCGCCACACUGGGACUGAGACACGGCCCAGACUCCUACGGGAGGCAGCAGUGGGGAAUUUUGGACAAUGGGCGCAAGCCUGAUCCAGCCAUGCCGCGUGCGGGACGAAGGCCUUCGGGUUGUAAACCGCUUUCAGCCGGAAAGAAAUCGCCAAGGCUAAUAUCCUUGGUGGAUGACGGUACCGGAAGAAGAAGCACCGGCUAACUACGUG
This 502-nucleotide ribosomal RNA is filed under the name uncultured bacterium. Its description in RNAcentral is "bacterial SSU rRNA". It matches the Rfam family "Bacterial small subunit ribosomal RNA", at positions 10 to 507 of the family's 1533-position model. The record is from RNAcentral.